CGAUGUGAUCAUACCAGCACUAAAGCUCCGGAUCCCAUCAGAACUCCGAAGUUAAGCGUGCUUGGGCGAGAGUAGUACUAGGAUGGGUGACCUCCUGGGGUGACCUCCUGGGAAGUCCUCGUGUUACAUCCC
RNAcentral lists this ribosomal RNA (132 nucleotides) under Oryza sativa Japonica Group (Japanese rice). Lineage: Eukaryota; Viridiplantae; Streptophyta; Magnoliopsida; Poales; Poaceae. The record is from RNAcentral.